AUAACGACUCUCGGCAACGGAUAUCUAGGCUCUUGCAUCGAUGAAGAACGUAGCGAAAUGCGAUACUUGGUGUGAAUUGCAGAAUCCCGUGAACCAUCGAGUCUUUGAACGCAAGUUGCGCCCGAAGCCUUCUGGCCGAGGGCACGCCUGCCUGGG
Molecule: ribosomal RNA, 156 nt
Filed under: Hypericum hypericoides
Lineage: Eukaryota; Viridiplantae; Streptophyta; Magnoliopsida; Malpighiales; Hypericaceae
Also listed under: 19 other names
Description: 5.8S ribosomal RNA
Rfam family: 5.8S ribosomal RNA
About the family: 5.8S ribosomal RNA (5.8S rRNA) is a component of the large subunit of the eukaryotic ribosome.
Source: RNAcentral